RNA transcript from Aphis gossypii (cotton aphid), 669 nucleotides. RefSeq lists it as uncharacterized. Lineage: Eukaryota; Metazoa; Arthropoda; Insecta; Hemiptera; Aphididae. The record is from RefSeq and is a predicted model, not a curated record. The transcript has 2 exons.
ACGUUAUAUGCUUAUAUAGUUAAUAUAUACUAAUACAAUAUUUAAUAAAUAUUAUAUAAUGUAUACUUAAUCUGUUAAUAAUUAUUUACAAUUUAAGAAUCUGGCAUAACAUAAAUCAAAAUGUUCAAAGUAAAUUAAUCGUUAAAAAUUGUAUAAAAGGAUAUCACUUUUAAAAAUUCAUUAGAUUAACUAGAUUGAAUUAAAUUAUUUUUAAUACAUCAACAAUCCAAAUCAAACAUGAAUUUUAAAUUUACUGUUGCAAUGGCAAUUGUCAUCGUCGUGAGUUUGUCCAAUUUAGGACAAGUCCAAGCAGAUGAUCCUCCAGUACCUCCAACUACUACUUCAGCUCCAACUCCAACUUCUUCCACUCCCCAAUGCCCAAGUUAUCCUUCAUCAACUGGAUCAACUACAACACCAUCUACAACACCACCUACAACACCACCAGCAACGUCUCCAUAAUUAUAUUAAAUAUUUUUACUAUAAAUUCUGAUAUAAAUCAACAGUUGAUUUUAUAUACUUGCUAAUUAUACCCAUUGAAGACGCAAAUACAGUAUUAUGCACACUUAGAUGUACUAAUAUAAUAUGUAUUUCGUUAUUAUAAUUUGUAUCACUGCACAUAAUAAUUAUAAAUGCCUUUGAAAAUUAAAAUAUUAAAUUGUUUUUAUUAUA